CUUGGUCAUUUAGAGGAAGUAAAAGUCGUAACAAGGUUUCCGUAGGUGAACCUGCGGAAGGAUCAUUAACGAAUCGUCCGGACUGUGCUGGCUUCGGCACGUGCACGUCCGCGAAUCCAACACACCCUGUGCACCUUUGACCCCGGAUUCCGCGCGAGCGGAGGAAGGGGUAUUACACACGCUUUUUAUCGUAUGUGACCUUUUUGAUUUGGCCUCUGUGCCGAUGAAAUGUACAACUUUCAACAACGGAUCUCUUGGCUCUCGCAUCGAUGAAGAACGCAGCGAAAUGCGAUAAGUAAUGUGAAUUGCAGAAUUCAGUGAAUCAUCGAAUCUUUGAACGCACCUUGCACCCUUUGGUAUUCCGAAGGGUAUGCCCGUUUGAGUGUCAUUGUAAUCUCACACCUCGAGCUUUUCGCUCGGGGAGGUGGACUUGGAGGUUCUGUCGCCCUUGACCGGGCGGCUCCUCUCGAAAGCGUCAGUGCGCUCCUGGUCGAGCGUGAACCGGUGUGAUAAGUGUUUCGCCGGUGGUUCGACCUCUUGGAGCCGCUCACAAUCGUCCCUCGGGACCGUCGCUCCGCGGCGUUUUGACUAUUUGACCUCAAAUCGGGUAGGACUACCCGCUGAACUUAAGCAUAUCAAUAAGCGGAGGAAAAGAAACUAACAAGGAUUCCCCUAGUAACGGCGAGUGAAGAGGGAUGAGCUCAAAUUUUGAAUCUGGCGCCUCCGGCGUCCGAGUUGUAAUCUAUAGAAGUGUUUUCCGCGGCGGACCUUGCACAAGUCUCCUGGAACGGAGCGUCGUAGAGGGUGAGAAUCCCGUACAUGGCAAGGACUCCCGUCGCUCUGCGAUACACUCUCGACGAGUCGAGUUGUUUGGGAAUGCAGCUCAAAGUGGGUGGUAAAUUCCAUCUAAAGCUAAAUAUUGGCGAGAGACCGAUAGCGAACAAGUACCGUGAGGGAAAGAUGAAAAGCACUUUGGAAAGAGAGUGAAACAGUACGUGAANUUGUUGAAAGGGAAACGCUUGAAGU
This 1026-nucleotide ribosomal RNA is filed under the name uncultured Basidiomycota. RNAcentral's name for it is "eukaryotic LSU rRNA". The stretch from base 594 to 1026 matches the Rfam family "Eukaryotic large subunit ribosomal RNA", at positions 1 to 429 of the family's 3401-position model. The record is from RNAcentral. Lineage: Eukaryota; Fungi; Basidiomycota.